AUUGAACGCUGGCGGCAGGCCUAACACAUGCAAGUCGAGCGGAUGAAGGGAGCUUGCUCCUGGAUUCAGCGGCGGACGGGUGAGUAAUGCCUAGGAAUCUGCCUGGUAGUGGGGGAUAACGUCCGGAAACGGGCGCUAAUACCGCAUACGUCCUGAGGGAGAAAGUGGGGGAUCUUCGGACCUCACGCUAUCAGAUGAGCCUAGGUCGGAUUAGCUAGUUGGUGGGGUAAAGGCCUACCAAGGCGACGAUCCGUAACUGGUCUGAGAGGAUGAUCAGUCACAAGGGAACUGAGACACGGUCCAGACUCCUAAGGGAGGCAGCAGUGGGGAAUAUUGGACAAUGGGCGAAAGCCUGAUCCAGCCAUGCCGCGUGUGUGAAGAAGGUCUUCGGAUUGUAAAGCACGUUAAGUUGGGAGGAAGGGCAGUAAGUUAAUACCUUGCUGUUUUGACGUUACCAACAGAAUAAGCACCGGCUAACUUCGUG
Molecule: ribosomal RNA, 484 nt
Filed under: uncultured bacterium
Lineage: Bacteria
Description: partial 16S ribosomal RNA
Rfam family: Bacterial small subunit ribosomal RNA
Source: RNAcentral